Molecule: non-coding RNA, 2839 nt
Organism: Megalopta genalis
Lineage: Eukaryota; Metazoa; Arthropoda; Insecta; Hymenoptera; Halictidae
Source: RefSeq, a predicted model, not a curated record
AUUCAUCCAUCGGCCACACGCGGCUCUUUCACGGGGUGGUUUCCGCGCGCGCGGAAUCCAUCCCUCCUCGUCGUUGACGGCGCGGACGCGACGCGACGCGACGCGGCCGCGUGUUCGGUGUCAACGUGCCAUAUUCGAACGCGCGACGGCUUAAAAAACACACGAAAAUGUUGGAGUGCGCGUAACGAGGCACGAUAUAUUUAGACGGCGAGCAUCGUCGCCAGUGGCGCUUGUCGCUUAUAAGCUCUGUGACAUAGUUACCGCUGAACUGCAAUUAACGACGCCUACUGACCGUCCCGACGUUUCGGCCUCUCGUUUAAUUUUGUGAUUCCACGAAAAACCUCGCGUGCCUUCGCUCUUCUUCCGACCUCCGUUUAAAAGCUCGGCUAUUCCGCGAGAAUUUUCGUCUCCGAAACGUUGGCUAAGCUUUCCGUGUUCAGAAUUCGUCGAUCACUCGGCUAAUUUACACAAUAAUCAUCGGUCAGCUUAUCGAACUUCAACAGACUCCGUUCUCUGUGAAGCUGACUUCAUUUCUCUGGAAUAAUUAAUAAUUACCUUAGGCAAUUAUUUCCAUCCAGCCAUUGAUUGCUCUCGAAUUCUGACAAACGUUUCGGAAACGUUCGAUAUUCUAGACGAUUUUCAAGAAUUAUUUAGCUGGCGUGUAAGCGUACAGACUCUGAGAUUACUGUGAACUCUUUUUUCGGGCUCAACGGUACAAACGAGUUACUGGAUGGAGUUCUGUAUAUUUUUGCAGGAUUUGGAAGAGGAGCUCUCACUCGGGAAAAAUGUUUCUCGUUUCAUGCCGGGGGAAGAGUUAGCGAGCGUUAAAGAGGAACAAAGCGGACGUCCGUGCGUCGAGCGUUAAAGGAGGAGGAACUUACCUAAAAUUGCAAUUACACACGGCUUGUUACCUGGAACAGAAGUUUGACAACCGUGCUUUUCCGAACGAACGUCGCGGCAUGCACUCUAAUUCCGAACGCCACUUCCCGAGUGGAUUUUCACUGCGCACACGCGGCCCUCCCUUCCAAACCUCUUGGAUUCAUUUGUACACCGUAAUAUGGCGGGCACCCCGGACUCGGGUCCCGACUUAUUGUUAGACCCGCCAUCGGAGCUUUUCCGACGACACGCGGAUCGUCCGAAGGUUUCAGACUCGUUCUACACGCAGAACUCAGAUUAGAAAAAUUUAUGGAAACGGCAGUGCAGUUAACGGCACGCUGUAAAGUGUAGUUAUUUUCCCGGUAAAGGCGCGGUACACGACAAGAACGCGACGUAAAACCAAGAUGGACGACUAUUACUUUUGACACUAUGUUCAGCUUAUUCGCAGAAUAAACUUACUUUUUAGGUACGUUUCUUCUCGUAACAGUUUCAAGGAGCUAUCUUUUGCUUUAGCUCUCUCUCCUUCUCUAUCUCUCUCUCUUCUCCACCCUCCCUCCCUUCUCACUCUCUCUUUCUCUCUCUCGUUUCGGCUUUUGUUACAAUUCUUCCUUCAAACAUUCGUGUUUGGAACUGCGAAAUCUUGGCGAAAGCAGAAGCAGCGAAGUACUUUGACGUACUAUAAUUGUUUUCAUUUGAAGUAAAAUGUUUGCAGCACUGUAAAUUCUCACGUAACAGAGUAGAACUUCAUUUAUAUGAGCGAGGCGGGAGAUGAUCAGGUUCACAUAGUAGGAGCCCGCUGAUUAUUCUCACUAAUCGUAACUUUUCGUUCAUACAACUGGAAUUCGCGUCCAGCAGUGGAAAAAGUAUCUAUUUGCCUAAUGAUCUGCAGUCUAACUCUUUAAUUGAAUUUCUUCUUCGCCUCAACGUAAAUUCGAAAAACUUACUAACCGAGAAAUAUUGCUUAAACCCUAACUUGACGAUAAAUAAAUUAUAUCCGAAGACAACGAAUGGGAACCGAUGCAUCUGCGUAGGUGACAAGCCGCGCGGUGUUUCUCCGCAUGUAAAUCCGCAAACGCAGAUACGAGCACACAGGAGAAGAAAGCAUCGGGAAACGCGAGGAGAUCGGACAAAGUAAAUUAAAUGGUUACCGUUCGAGGUUCAAAGAGAAGGCGAGAGGCGUGGAAGUUGGAUACAUUAGUGAAUUAGUUACGUUAGCGGUUUGGGAUUUAGUUCUCUAAUCAAGAGAACGAAGAGUGAAGGCUGCGGCAAUUGAUGUAAAAGUAGAACUUCCCGGGGACCAAUUACGUGGCCGUGACGGAGCUAGAAGUUCUCUGUCGUAAUCAACGAGGGGAUUAUGGCCGCGCGUUAAGUAUAUUACGCCUGGAAUAAUUUUCUGUUUGAACGAAAGAACCCGACAGCUGGCAAUUAAUCACAGAAACGCGUAGAAAGCGUUUGUGAACCUGCCACGAAUAAAUCCCGAGGGCUUUUCAUGAGACCGGAGAUCUAACGGAUGGUUUCCCUGCUUAAAGCAUUAACAAAAUAAGACGUAAAUUCCCGGAAAUGCCAUAAAUGAGGCAUUGUUUGUUUUCUAAGAAUAGCUCUAUUGUGAUAGACCGUUGCUAAAUUUCAUUCCAAUACCUUGAAAAACGUGCUUGUUAUUUCUCGUAUUAUUGGAAAUGAUUUACGAUUCAUUAAUAAAUGUAGACGUACUAACCAAUUUUUCUGUUAUGCAACGGUACGACAUUCAUUGAAAGCAGUUCUUAAACCGUAGUAGAAUAGUAAAUAAAAUUGGUAUCGGAUAUUUCUAUUGAGCGAUAUACAUCAAUUAUUCUAGAACUAUAACUAAAUGUUCAAAUUGUUUCACUUUGACUGUCAAAAGAAACUAUAUGUCAUUCGAUUUUUUUGUAUUAAAAAUUCUUGUGUACGCACAGAAAAUAAAUUAUAAUGUCGAGUUAAAUAAAGA